ACGGGAGGCAGCAGUGGGGAAUAUUGCACAAUGGGGGAAACUCUGAUGCAGCGAUGCCGCGUGGAGGAAGAAGGUUUUCGGAUUGUAAACUCCUGUCUUAAAGGACGAUAAUGACGGUACUUUAGGAGGAAGCUCCGGCUAACUACGUGCCAGCAGCCGCGGUAAUACGUAGGGAGCGAGCGUUGUCCGGAAUUACUGGGUGUAAAGGGAGCGUAGGCGGGAUGGUAAGUCAGAUGUGAAAUGCAGGAGCUCAACUCCUGAGCUGCAUUUGAAACUGCUGUUCUUGAGUGAAGUAGAGGUAAGCGGAAUUCCUGGUGUAGCGGUGAAAUGCGUAGAUAUCAGGAGGAACACCGGUGGCGAAGGCGGCUUACUGGGCUUUUACUGACGCUGAGGCUCGAAAGCGUGGGUAGCAAACAGGAUUAGAUACCCUGGUA
RNAcentral lists this ribosomal RNA (434 nucleotides) under uncultured Ruminococcus sp. RNAcentral's name for it is "partial 16S ribosomal RNA". It matches the Rfam family "Bacterial small subunit ribosomal RNA", at positions 341 to 792 of the family's 1533-position model. The record is from RNAcentral. Lineage: Bacteria; Bacillati; Bacillota; Clostridia; Eubacteriales; Oscillospiraceae.